AACUCUCAAACCACAUCUUCAUUGAUGUUGGGUUUGGAUUUGGACGUUGCUGGACUUUUCGGCUCGUCUUGAAUGCAUUAGCUGGCGAUUUCGACUACAGUUAAACCGUGUGAUAAUACAUCUACGCGGGCAGCCGUCAAGGCGCUGGGUCGUCAUUCAAAGGCUUCUAAUUGUCCUUUGAGGACCGCCUUUAUUGGCGUAUUCAUUUCAC
RNAcentral lists this unclassified non-coding RNA (211 nucleotides) under uncultured Agaricomycetes. Its description in RNAcentral is "sequence contains ITS2". Lineage: Eukaryota; Fungi; Basidiomycota; Agaricomycetes. The record is from RNAcentral.